CGUACACUCCUACGGGAGGCAGCAGUGGGGAAUAUUGCACAAUGGGCGCAAGCCUGAUGCAGCCAUGCCGCGUGUAUGAAGAAGGCCUUCGGGUUGUAAAGUACUUUCAGCGGGGAGGAAGGCGAUAAGGUUAAUAACCUUGUCGAUUGACGUUACCCGCAGAAGAAGCACCGGCUAACUCCGUGCCAGCAGCCGCGGUAAUACGGAGGGUGCAAGCGUUAAUCGGAAUUACUGGGCGUAAAGCGCACGCAGGCGGUCUGUCAAGUCGGAUGUGAAAUCCCCGGGCUCAACCUGGGAACUGCAUUCGAAACUGGCAGGCUAGAGUCUUGUAGAGGGGGGUAGAAUUCCAGGUGUAGCGGUGAAAUGCGUAGAGAUCUGGAGGAAUACCGGUGGCGAAGGCGGCCCCCUGGACAAAGACUGACGCUCAGGUGCGAAAGCGUGGGGAGCAAACAGGAUUAGAAACCCCGGUAGUCCCAU
This 477-nucleotide ribosomal RNA is filed under the name uncultured organism. Its description in RNAcentral is "partial 16S ribosomal RNA". It matches the Rfam family "Bacterial small subunit ribosomal RNA", at positions 330 to 798 of the family's 1533-position model. The record is from RNAcentral.